Molecule: transfer RNA, 72 nt
Filed under: Unio crassus
Lineage: Eukaryota; Metazoa; Mollusca; Bivalvia; Unionida; Unionidae
Description: tRNA-Arg
Source: RNAcentral
AAAAGAAGAAAGCUAUUGUCAGCAAUAUGGUUUCGACCCAUAAAAUGAAUUUACAUGAAUUCUCUUCUAUUA